Daktulosphaira vitifoliae (grape phylloxera) is the source of this 993-nucleotide long non-coding RNA. RefSeq lists it as uncharacterized. The record is from RefSeq and is a predicted model, not a curated record. Lineage: Eukaryota; Metazoa; Arthropoda; Insecta; Hemiptera; Phylloxeridae. The transcript has 4 exons.
UUUUACUUUUGUGUUAAUUUGUUAAUAAAAUAAUGAAUUCAAAAUUAUUUUUUAUUUUUGAACUAAAAAAUCCUGAAACAGUGGUGACUUCUAAUCAAAUAAUUAGAAGUCAUAUUACAUAAAUUAUUCUAUUGUUGGACUUAUUAUGUAUAGUCUUUUCACUUUUUAUAUUUUAAAAUUUUCUUUCAGACAUCCAGUUUGAAUAUUGCUAAUAGUAACGUAACAAAUAAAUUGGUUAUCGUCACUAAAGAUAAAUAAAAUAAACUUACAUAUGAAAUUACUUAUAUAGGCAACUCGAAAUUUGAUUUAGAUGAUUUACAGUCUGGUCCAAAAAGAUCCAUAUUAGAGUUAUGUGGGUCUAGAGUUCUUGCAAAUGUAAAACUAACAAAACUGGAUGAUCAUGCUAUUAUUAUAUUACAAAAACUCAUUUAACUCUUAUUCCAAAAUAGACAAGACAUUAUAACGUAACUGUCAAUAAAACUGACACUAUUCAUACCUAGCUAAUAAGUCAAUCUAAACUAGAAUUUGCCGCUAAUAGGUAAUGUAUGAAAAGUCUAAUUGAUAUGACAAUUUUUUGAGUAUCCAAAGACUGACUUGACACAAUGAAAACAGAUCAUCAUUAAAUCAAGGGAAUUUCAACAAAACCUGUUUUAUUUUCCAAGCUUUCCAUGUUUUCUGAAAUAUUUAACAAAGAAACAAAUUACACAAGUCACCAUAUUCAAAAUGAAAUAAUUGAAAUAUGUGCAAAUAGCGUAAAAGAGUAAAUAGUAUAAUGUGUGAUGAAGCAAGAUUUUAUAAAGAAGAACAAAUGAUUAAUAUUAUUUUGAAACUUAUAAAUUAAAUACUAAAGCUCAAAUAAUUUCAGAAUCCUAUAAUGGUUAGAAUUUCUGUGGAAAUAUCAUGCCUGGAAAUUUAAUGGAGUCAAUCAAGAAUAAGAAUUGGUAUGUUUUAUAGAAUAAAUAUUUUGGUUGCAGAUAGGUGCAAAAUGUUAAA